Molecule: small RNA, 589 nt
Filed under: Pongo abelii (Sumatran orangutan)
Lineage: Eukaryota; Metazoa; Chordata; Mammalia; Primates; Hominidae
Description: processed transcript
Source: RNAcentral
UUCUGAAACACAAAUGGACAAAAAUGAAGGGAAAUCUUGCCUUCUACAGGCAAUUAAAAAGGGAGGUUUUUGCUUUUAAAUGAGAAAGGAAAAUACCUUUUUGGUACUACUGUCAUUCACUUUUCUUAAAGGACAUUACCCAGAAAAAUGGAAGGCAAAAAAUUUUGAUUUUUUUCAACUGGAAAGCUGGACGUAAAGAAAGAAGUGAUGCACUCAAUUCUGCAAUAGAUAAAAUGACCAAGAAGACCAGGGACUUGCGUAGACAGCUCCGCAAAGCUGUCAUGGACCACGUUUCAGAUUCUUUCCUGGAAACAAAUGUUCCACUUUUGGUGUUGAUUGAAGCUGCAAAGAAUGGAAAUGAGAAAGAAGUUAAGGAGUAUGCCCAAGUUUUCCGUGAACAUGCCAACAAAUUGAUUGAGGUUGCCAACUUGGCCUGUUCCAUCUCAAAUAAUGAAGAAGGUGUAAAGCUUGUUCGAAUGUCUGCAAGCCAGUUAGAAGCCCUCUGUCCUCAGGUUAUUAAUGCUGCAUUGGCUUUAGCAGCAAAACCACAGAGUAAACUGGCCCAAGAGAACAUGGAUCUUUUUAAAGA